RNAcentral lists this ribosomal RNA (253 nucleotides) under uncultured bacterium. RNAcentral describes it as "partial 16S ribosomal RNA". It matches the Rfam family "Bacterial small subunit ribosomal RNA", at positions 524 to 776 of the family's 1533-position model. The record is from RNAcentral.
GACGGAGGGUGCUAGCGUUGUUCGGAAUCACUGGGCGUAAAGGGCGCGUAGGCGGCGAUGGCAGUCGGGUGUGAAAGCCCGGAGCUCAACUCCGGAAUGGCACUCGAGACGCCAUGGCUGGAGGCCGGAAGAGGAGGGUGGAAUACCCAGUGUAGAGGUGAAAUUCGUAGAUAUUGGGUGGAACACCGGUGGCGAAAGCGGCUCUCUGGUCCGGACCUGACGCUGAGGCGCGAAAGCGUGGGGAGCAAACAGG